RNAcentral lists this ribosomal RNA (597 nucleotides) under uncultured bacterium. RNAcentral's name for it is "bacterial SSU rRNA". It matches the Rfam family "Bacterial small subunit ribosomal RNA", at positions 338 to 856 of the family's 1533-position model. The record is from RNAcentral.
CCUACGGGAGGCAGCAGUAAGGAAUAUUGGUCAAUGGACGAAAGUCUGAACCAGCCAUGCCGCGUGAAGGAUUAAGGUCCUCUGGAUUGUAAACUUCUUUUAUAGGGGACGAAAAAAGGGCAUUCUUGCUCUCUUGACGGUACCCUGUGAAUAAGCACCGGCUAACUCCGUGCCAGCAGCCGCGGUAAUACGGAGGGUGCAAGCGUUAUCCGGAUUCACUGGGUUUAAAGGGUGCGUAGGCGGGUAGGUAAGUCAGUGGUGAAAUCUCGGAGCUUAACUCCGAAACUGCCAUUGAUACUAUCUAUCUUGAAUAUUGUGGAGGUUUGCGGAAUAUGUCAUGUAGCGGUGAAAUGCAUAGAUAUGACAUAGAACACCUAUUGCGAAGGCAGCAGGCUACACAUAUAUUGACGCUGAGGCACGAAAGCGUGGGGAUCAAACAGGAUUAGAUACCCUGGUAGUCCACGCCCUAAACGAUGAUUACUCGACAUACGUGAUACACUAUGUGUGUCUGNGNGAAGANAUAUANACACNGAGAGUCGCGAGAGAGAAGACAAGAAGUAGAGNGNGAGAGNGCGAGGACGACGACGAGGGAGGAGG